AACGAACGCUGGCGGCAGGCCUAACACAUGCAAGUCGAACGCCCCGCCAGGGGAGUGGCAGACGGGUGAGUAACGCGUGGGAACAUACUCUUUUCUACGGCAUAGCCCUGGGUUACUGGAAUUAAUACCGAAUACGCCCUACGGGGGAAAGGUUUAUCGGGUAAGGGUUGGCGCGCGUUGUCUUAGCUCGUUGGGGGGGUAAAGGCCUACCAAGGCGACGAGCUAUAGCUUGUCUGAGAGGCUGAGCAGACACAUUGUGAGUGGGACGCGGCCCAGACUCCUACGGGAGGCAGCAGUGGGGAAUAUAGGACAAUCGGCGCAAGGCUGAUCCAGCCAUGCCGGGUGAGUGAUGUAGGCCUUAGGGUAGUGAAGCUCUUUCACCGAUGAAGAUAAUGACGGUAGUCGGAGAAGAAGCCCCGGCUAACUUCGUG
This 431-nucleotide ribosomal RNA is filed under the name uncultured bacterium. RNAcentral's name for it is "partial 16S ribosomal RNA". It matches the Rfam family "Bacterial small subunit ribosomal RNA", at positions 29 to 507 of the family's 1533-position model. The record is from RNAcentral.